This 482-nucleotide ribosomal RNA is filed under the name uncultured bacterium. RNAcentral describes it as "partial 16S ribosomal RNA". It matches the Rfam family "Bacterial small subunit ribosomal RNA", at positions 32 to 507 of the family's 1533-position model. The record is from RNAcentral.
AACGCUGGCGGCAUGCCUUACACAUGCAAGUCGAACGGCAGCACGGGUGCUUGCACCUGGUGGCGAGUGGCGAACGGGUGAGUAAUACAUCGGAACAUGUCCUGUAGUGGGGGAUAGCCCGGCGAAAGCCGGAUUAAUACCGCAUACGAUCUACGGAUGAAAGCGGGGGACCUUCGGGCCUCGCGCUAUAGGGUUGGCCGAUGGCUGAUUAGCUAGUUGGUGGGGUAAAGGCCUACCAAGGCGACGAUCAGUAGCUGGUCUGAGAGGACGACCAGCCACACUGGGACUGAGACACGGCCCAGACUCCUACGGGAGGCAGCAGUGGGGAAUUUUGGACAAUGGGCGAAAGCCUGAUCCAGCAAUGCCGCGUGUGUGAAGAAGGCCUUCGGGUUGUAAAGCACUUUUGUCCGGAAAGAAAUCCUUGGCCCUAAUACGGUCGGGGGAUGACGGUACCGGAAGAAUAAGCACCGGCUAACUACGUG